Molecule: ribosomal RNA, 459 nt
Filed under: uncultured bacterium
Lineage: Bacteria
Description: partial 16S ribosomal RNA
Rfam family: Bacterial small subunit ribosomal RNA
Source: RNAcentral
CCUACGGGUGGCUGCAGUGAGGAAUAUUGGUCAAUGGGAGGAAUCCUGAACCAGCCAUGCCGCGUGCAGGACGACGGCUCGACGAGUUGUAAACUGCUUUUGUACCGGGGUAAAAUGCCCUACGAGUAGGGUUUUGAAAGUACGGUACGAAUAAGGAUCGGCUAACUCCGUGCCAGCAGCCGCGGUAAUACGGAGGAUCCGAACGUUAUCCGGAUUCAUUGGGUUUAAAGGGUGGGUAGGUGUGUUAUAAGGUAGCGGGGGAAUACCGGUGCUCAACAUCGGGGCUGCCGCUAAUACUGUAGGACUAGAGAUCGGAUGCAGCAGGCGGAAUGUGUAGUGUAGCGGUGAAAUGCAUAGAGAUUACACAGAACACCGAUUGCGAAGGCAGCUUGCUAGGCCGGAUCUGACACUGAUGCACGAAAGCGUGGGGAUCGAACAGGAUUAGAUACCCGGGUAGUC